This 507-nucleotide ribosomal RNA is filed under the name uncultured bacterium. RNAcentral's name for it is "partial 16S ribosomal RNA". It matches the Rfam family "Bacterial small subunit ribosomal RNA", at positions 28 to 507 of the family's 1533-position model. The record is from RNAcentral.
GACGAACGCUGGCGGCGUGCUUAACACAUGCAAGUCGAACGGGCCUUGUCCCCUUUUUUUUGGGGGUGGGGUUAGUGGCGAACGGGUGAGUAACACGUGAGUAACCUGCCCCUCACUUCUGGAUAACCGCUUGAAAGGGUGGCUAAUACGGGGUGUUCUGGCCUGCUCGCAUGGGUGGGUUUGGAAAGAUUCGACCGGUUUUGGCUGUUUUGGUGGGGGAUGGGCUCGCGGCCUAUCAGCUUGUUGGUGGGGUGAUGGCCUGCCAAGGCUUUGACGGGUAGCCGGCCUGAGAGGGUGGGCGGUCACACUGGGACUGAGACACGGCCCAGACUCCUACGGGAGGCAGCAGUGGGGAAUAUUGCACAAUGGGCGCAAGCCUGAUGCAGCGACGCCGCGUGAGGGAUGGAGGCCUUCGGGUUGUGAACCUCUUUCGCCAGUGAAGAAGGUCCUGCUCUUUGUGGUGGGGUUGACGGUAGCUGGGUUAAUGAAGCGCCGGCUAACUACGUG